This 605-nucleotide long non-coding RNA is filed under the name Equus caballus (horse). RNAcentral describes it as "lncRNA (ENSECAG00000028199.3)". Lineage: Eukaryota; Metazoa; Chordata; Mammalia; Perissodactyla; Equidae. The record is from RNAcentral.
UCAGCCCUCCAGGACGGAGUGAAAUCCCCUUGCCUCCUGCUGCAAAGGCAGAGGGAGGUGCACAGAGGAGGCUGGGUAGGGGGUGCCUGUCUUGGCAGAGGAAGACACACACACAGCCCCCUUGGGGCUCAGGGAGCUUUCCGCCCUCCUCUCUGGCAGAGGCAGCCUCCUUCUCCUCAGGGGGUUCCUUUCAAUGUUAAUGAGACUAAGAAGCCUCAAGGGCCCAUCCCCGAGUCCAGCGGAAGGCUCAACUCCACCAUGCGCUACCACUCAAGGACACUGAGCCUUCUUUGUGGCUGUUGGGCUGGGGAGAAACACAGGAUGUAAGCAGUGGCCUCCUCUGCUACCACAUCCAGACCUAUGAACCCCUGGCAGCUGGAGCCACAGAGAACAUGUCUUCAGAUAGAGAGCCGAUUUCCUUUGAGCAGUCUUUUCUCCAGAUUAAACAUACUUAAUUCCUUCCACAUGUCCUAUAUGACUAGUUACCAGACUUGUCACCAUCCUGGUCACCCUUGUCUGGACACUCUCCAGGGUGUCAACGUGCCUCUUGGGGUUUGACACAAUGCAGCAAGUGUGGUCUGCCCUUCUACUAAGGGAGUCUAAAU